Molecule: ribosomal RNA, 253 nt
Filed under: uncultured bacterium
Lineage: Bacteria
Description: partial 16S ribosomal RNA
Rfam family: Bacterial small subunit ribosomal RNA
Source: RNAcentral
UACGGGGGGGGCAAGCGUUGUUCGGAAUUACUGGGCGUAAAGGGCUCGUAGGCGGCCAACUAAGUCAGACGUGAAAUCCCUCAGCUUAACUGGGGAACUGCGUCUGAUACUGGAUGGCUUGAGUUUGGGAGAGGGAUGCGGAAUUCCAGGUGUAGCGGUGAAAUGCGUAGAUAUCAGGAAGAACACCCGUGGCUAAAGCGGCUCUCUAGAACGGUACUGACGCUGAGACGCGAAAGCUAGGGGAGCAAACAGG